GCCUACGGGGGGCAGCAGUGGGGAAUAUUGCACAAUGGGCGAAAGCCUGAUGCAGCAACGCCGCGUGAAGGAAGACGGUUUUCGGAUUGUAAACUUCUAUCAAUAGGGAAGAAAGAAAUGACGGUACCUAAAUAAGAAGCCCCGGCUAACUACGUGCCAGCAGCCGCGGUAAUACGUAGGGGGCAAGCGUUAUCCGGAUUUACUGGGUGUAAAGGGAGCGUAGACGGUUACGCAAGUCUGGAGUGAAAGUCGGGGGCCCAACCCCCGGACUGCUUUGGACACUGUAUAACUGGAG
Molecule: ribosomal RNA, 295 nt
Filed under: uncultured bacterium
Lineage: Bacteria
Description: partial 16S ribosomal RNA
Rfam family: Bacterial small subunit ribosomal RNA
Source: RNAcentral